Molecule: long non-coding RNA, 309 nt
Organism: Prionailurus viverrinus (fishing cat)
Lineage: Eukaryota; Metazoa; Chordata; Mammalia; Carnivora; Felidae
Exons: 3
Source: RefSeq, a predicted model, not a curated record
UCUUGGUUUUAUCAACCCACUGCCUCCCCCAAGAUUAUUCCCCGUUGUUUUAAAGUAGAAGGGAGGUCACCAGGCUGUAGUGAAAUGUGGCCAACUCCGGCGGGGACCAAGUUGGCCCAACCGGCUUCUCUAAAGUAACUGGAAGUUUUCUGACAGGAAACCGGUCAGUUCUUAAGCCACAGUACAUUCACCAAGCCUUCUAAAGAUGACUUUUCUGGCUGCUGCUACUGACUCCAUUCUUUGCGGGAUCCUGGAGAGAGAGACAGAGCAUGAGCAUAGGAGGAGCAGAGCGGAGGAGGAGAAGAGCAA